Molecule: transfer RNA, 75 nt
Filed under: Caudoviricetes sp.
Lineage: Duplodnaviria; Heunggongvirae; Uroviricota; Caudoviricetes
Description: tRNA-Gly
Rfam family: tRNA
About the family: Transfer RNA (tRNA) molecules are approximately 80 nucleotides in length.
Source: RNAcentral
GCAGGCGUAGUACAAAGGUUAGUAUUCCGGUCUUCCAAACCGGUGAUGGGGUGUCGGAAUCCCUCGCUUGCUCCA